Cinara cedri is the source of this 684-nucleotide non-coding RNA. Lineage: Eukaryota; Metazoa; Arthropoda; Insecta; Hemiptera; Aphididae. The record is from the annotation of a GenBank genome assembly.
UUAAAAUUAUACUUACUGCUUAUAUAUUUAAUAGUAUUUUUAAAAUUUUUAGUCAAACUUCAAGAUAUCUCCAAACAAAAUGUUUAGAUUUAUUAACUGCAUGGAAUAUGAUUGAGUCUAUAUCAGAAAUGUCAAAAAUAGAAAAAAUUUUGAAAAUGUUCACGAUAAAGCUUAUUUAUUUUCAAGAAAUAAAUAGACAACUAUCAAAUUUACACCUUCUCGGAAAUAUAAUUGUUGAAGGACAACUACCAACAUCUAGAGUAUGUAGGGGAAAAUGUAUACAAUGAAGUAUGUGAAGACCAAGUUCUAACUAAUCUAAAGGAAAAAUUCAAAGUAGAAAGAAUAGGAAGAAACAUAUUAUAAAAUAUUAAUCGAUCAAAUAUUAAGUAGUCUAAAUCAAAUGUUUUCAAAUAAUAGGAAUUUAAUAGCUGUCCAAAGAAUUUUAAUCUUGUUGAAAAUAUGCCAGAUGAUGCUUUAACAUAUUUAGUUGACCUAAUUAAUAUUAAAAAGAAUAUUUAAAAAUUGAGUUACAAAAUUUUACUAAAAUUUAUCAUAAUUUGACAUCAUUUGUGGAAAAAACUAACUAUAUAUUCUAACACAGUACAAAACAUAUUACCAACAGUAAGAAGUCUAGUGGUGAAUCGCCAACAGAAGAGUCAGAAGAUAGUGAUGGAGAAAAAAAGG